This 146-nucleotide unclassified non-coding RNA is filed under the name soil metagenome. RNAcentral describes it as "partial internal transcribed spacer 1". The record is from RNAcentral.
UAAUAAGUGUUUUAGUGGCACUUUUUAAAUCCAUAUCCACCUUGUGUGCAAUGUCAGUCGAUCUUCUUCAUGGAGAUCGACCAAACAUCAACCUUUAUUUUUUAACUCUUUGUCUGAAAAAUAUUAUGAAUAAACAAUUCAAAAUA